RNAcentral lists this transfer RNA (85 nucleotides) under Felis catus (domestic cat). It matches the Rfam family "tRNA". From Rfam's summary of the family: Transfer RNA (tRNA) molecules are approximately 80 nucleotides in length. Their secondary structure includes four short double-helical elements and three loops (D, anti-codon, and T loops). The record is from Rfam by way of RNAcentral. Lineage: Eukaryota; Metazoa; Chordata; Mammalia; Carnivora; Felidae.
GCCUGGGUGGCUCAGUUGGUUAAGCGUCUGACUUUGGCUCAGGUCAUAAUCUCACGGUUUGUGGGUUCAAGCCCCAUGUCAGCCU